UUUUAUUUCAUCUUUUAGAGCCUUUUAUAAUAUACAGAGUGGCUCUGGAUUAAACUGAUUGCAUUGAAAGUUUAUAUUUCUAUUUCAAAAUGCCCCCUUACACGAUGCAAGCUUGACAUCUUGGUGAAAUUGAAUUCAUCAUUAUCUUACUUCAGUUCAAUGAAUGCAUUAUUAACCCUUUUUAUUAUUUGAACGAUACAAGGGUAAAAAUCUUGAGGAUCCAAGCAAUUUGUGAAUAAAUUCGAACUCACUAUUCAGUGAGGAGUAUACCACGAGUGUUGUCAUUCUUCUCAACAUCCUUACAACUUUCUCGCUCGUCAAAGAAAUCCUUCGAUUGUCUUUGUUCCCAAGCAAAGUACGAAUGCUCAACCAACAGAUUCUCAGAGUAAACGCGGCCGGUUUUCGAUACACGCAUGCACGCGACACGAUCCCGCGAUAGAAGGCACGAACAAGGAGAAGCUCCUCGAAACACGGAGUGCCUCCGUGUACGCGCGUUUCACCGAAACAGCACGGCUGUUGGUAAUUGCCACGGCUGCGAGGAGAAAUCUAACGUAAAUCCAACGCGAUACGUUUAAUCCCGAGGAAGGGAUCACCACCUUCCAAGAAAACGGAUCAAUUUUUACAUUUUUACAUCCGAAUCUUGUCAAACUUUUCUGAAACGAAGAAAGAAAAGAAGAAAUCCGUCCGUCCGUCGAUAUUUCCAUCGAGAGCAUCCUUCCGAGAUGCGAAAUAUCGAUUCAUCGAGAGAAGAAUUCCUGGGAGAAAUCUUGGGAACGGUGCGUAAAUUUCCUCUCCGAUCAAUUUGUUUCGCAUCUCUUGACGCGAAACAAGAAGAAAGAAAAAAAUAAAUAAAUAAAUUCGACGUAGAAUCCAAAUCGAUAUACAUUAUCUCGAUCUCCGCGAUGGAACACGAUGUCGAGACACUUCUCUCUCUCUCGACCGGAUAGAUAACCGACAAAGAAGAAAUUGAAGGGAGGGGGGGAGGAGUUGGGACGAAUGGUAAUUGGGCGGAAAGAUAACGGAAAACGGUGUGGCGUGUCCCCCGGUUUGGUAAAGGUGAGAGAAGGUUGAAGGCUGGGAAGGAUUAUCGCGCGGCGGAGUUGGAAAGUGCGGGCGAGGGAGGGGGGGGGAGGAUAGAAGGUGGUACGUGCACCGUAUUGGUAUCGUUGGUACGCUCGCACCCAACGGUACACCCCGUUAACGCGCUGCCAUUUUCGAUAAGAGAGGUUGCAAGGACGACGGUGAUCGCGCUCGACGCGUAGGCAAGCUGCUCGUAAAGUGUUUAGCCAAGGGGGGGGGAGGAGGUGGGCAGGUGGGGGAGGAGGUUGGUUGGAGGAGGGACUCGUCGGAACGGAGUAGAUGAGUUAAACUACACGAGGUCUGACGCUAGUAAUUGAGUGCCGCUCUGUCUAGUUAGCGCCUCGUGCCACCGGCUCACAAACCCGUCACUUUAUCGGCUAAACGACAUGCGAUGCGUGACAAAUCCAUCUUGCCUUAACCGCGGCGCCGCCUAGGCUCGAGGACGACCCCCCUCCUCUCCGUUCAUUAUCGGACGACGUCGAAUUCAUUCGGGAUCCGUUCAUCUGAUAAUUACCCCGCGCUUCGUCGAGUUCAUCGGCGCGAAAAGAAACUUGGAAAAAGAAGAAGAAGAAGAAGGAGUUUGUUGGUCGUUGCAUUUAUCCAUCUGCCCGAACGAAUCUGUACAAGUGUUCUUGCGGCCAAGAUUUACGCGUAGAGGUUAGAGACGAUCCGGCUCGUAAGAAAGUAAGAGGAACGUCUCCCGUUUUUUUUUCCCCUUCUCCCUGUUCCUCUCCUCUCUCGUUCGCGCCAAAUCAGAUUUUGGUGGAGAGCGAACGAAACGAAACGAAACGAAACGAAACGAAAGGAAUACGAGCCGGCUAGUUUUGGCUCUCGAGCGGAUAAUUGAAUUAUGCGAGCCGAGGGGCCGGCAUCCGAGUGGGGGAGAAAGAAAGAAAAGGCGGAAAGGGAAGGAUGAUGGGUGAAAGGGAGUGGGGAGGGGAGAGGAGGGGAAGGCUCAAAGUUGAAAUUUCACGCGCCAUUGUUCGAUUCCGGCCGAGGAAUAGGAGUUAGAAGCAUUUAGGGAGGAGGGGGGGGACGGCAGGAGGCGGGAGGAGAGGGGAGGUGAAUUACGGUCCGAGAUACGGGCAAGACGUGGCGAAGAAGCGAGAGGGAUGGCGCGUGGAAGGGGACCGAGAGGGGUCCGCUACCGGCACCGAGACUUUAAUUCCGUGCUACAUCGGACGGCUAACUGAGCAACGAUUCCUGCCCUUCCGUGAACGGCUUCUCGAUUUCGGCUCCGCGUGGCGAAGCGAGAUUAAUCGUGGCUCUCGCUUUCGCUUUCCUCUUCUUUCUUCCUUUCUUUCGUAGCACGAAGCGAAAGAAAAAUUUAAUAAACACGCGCGAAGUUGGGAAUAUGAAGAAUUUUAACAUUUUAAAAUAGGGAUAGAGCGAAGAAGACGGAGGAAGGGAAGGAAGAGGAGGAGGAGGAAGAAGAAGAAGAAGAGGAGGAGGAGGAGGUCGGUGGCGAGGGUGAAGAGAAGAGGGAGGAGAAGGAGGAGCCCGCAUUCUCGGAGAUUAUCGUGCUCGCCAUCAGCGUAUCACAGCGUCACAGGACAAGAUUUAUAUGUAGAGUUUAUUGUCGCUGAGUCCGCCCUACUGCGUUUUAUGGAUGUUUUUCGAAGGAGCGCUGCCGUCCGUGUGAUCUAUCGCAGCGCCCUCACUCCCUUCCCACUCCUGCUCCUUUCUCUCCUUCUCCCUUCCAUUCUCUUCUCUCUCUCUCUCUCUCUCUCUCCCUUUCUUUUUCCUCCCGUCCACCUUUCUACCACUCUAACUCUUCUUCCAGAUCUCUCUGUACUUUGCUCCGAUUCGGCAGACGGGGGUGGCGGACCGGAGGGAUCCCUAAUGAACGCCACGACCGAGUCUCUCCUUUCC
Molecule: long non-coding RNA, 2952 nt
Filed under: Apis mellifera (honey bee)
Lineage: Eukaryota; Metazoa; Arthropoda; Insecta; Hymenoptera; Apidae
Description: uncharacterized LOC102654730
Source: RNAcentral